RNAcentral lists this long non-coding RNA (313 nucleotides) under Carica papaya (papaya). RNAcentral describes it as "long non-coding RNA (CPAP_LNC007901)". Lineage: Eukaryota; Viridiplantae; Streptophyta; Magnoliopsida; Brassicales; Caricaceae. The record is from RNAcentral.
ACACUAUAUAAUCAAUCUGCCUUAGCUAUUAUGACAAAGACACCUACCUCGCCUAGAUCCAAGCCCUACCUGAUAUCUUUAUGAAGAUCUGAGAAGCAUAGGCAAUAGAUCCGAAACUCAUCGAGAGCCUGGAUAAGUUUACUUUGGACGAAUCUCCUAAUUUUAGGAUCUCUAAUGAUGGAUUAUUCAGAUUCUGAAAUCAAAUUUGGGUCCCUGAUGUAGUACGCACAAAUGUACUCAAGACUGCCCAUGCUUCUAGUUAUCCAUCCAUUCCGAAAAUACCAAGAUGUACUAGGACUUGAAGCAACAAUAU